AUGGUGAACUGGAUACAAGUGCUAAGAAAACACUUAGUCGCCCGUCUGGCGACAAACGCCGGCCUCCGGCAGCACGCCGUUGCCGUCGAUGACGCGGGCACUGUCAUAAACCUCUGGCUCCCUGAUAAUGACGAUGCACCGGACAGGAAGCAGAAGCAGCGGAAGAAGCACCAGCCCGUGGUGCUCGUGCACGGCUUCGCCGGCGACGGCAUUAUGACGUGGGUGCUCCAGGUGAGCGCCCUCGCCAAUCGUGGCUACGACGUGUACGUCCCCGACCUGGUGCACUUCGGCGGCUCCACAUCGCCGUUGCCAGACCGCUCCGUGGCCUUCCAGGCACGGUGCCUUGCGGCGGCUCUACGGAAGCUUGGAGUCGGUACGGCCGACGUGGUGGGCUGGAGCUACGGCGGGUUCGUAGCAUUCGAGCUGGCGGCCGUGCAUCCGGACCAGGUCCGCUCCGUCGUCGCCUCCGGCAGCACCGUCAAGUACACUAGCGCCAUGAGGGAUGACUUGCUGAGGAGGCUUGGCUGGGCCCAAUCGCUGACGGAGCUCUUGGUGCCGGAGUCGGUUGGCCAGCUCAGGUUGCUGUUCUCCAACGCCAUGCACAUGAAGCCGUGGUUUCCGGAUCGCCUUCUCAGGGACUUUCUUAAGGUGAUGUAUUUCAACCAAAAGGAGAGAGCUGAGAUGAUAGAAGAUAUAGUCCUCGGGGACACAGAAGCAUUUGCCCCUGUUUUUCAGCAGAGCAUACUCCUGUUGUGGGGUGAAAAUGACAACAUGUGGCCCAUAGAGGAUGCUGAGUGUCUGAAACACAAGCUAGGGGAGAAGGCGAACCUGCGACGCAUAAGCAAAGCAGGGCAUCUUGUACAACUGGAGAGGCCAUGUGUCUUCAACCGCAACCUCAUAGAGUUCCUGGCUCAUGGCAACACACGCUCCUCUUGA
This 936-nucleotide ribosomal RNA is filed under the name Triticum aestivum (bread wheat). RNAcentral's name for it is "partial small subunit ribosomal RNA". The record is from RNAcentral. Lineage: Eukaryota; Viridiplantae; Streptophyta; Magnoliopsida; Poales; Poaceae.